This 2341-nucleotide small RNA is filed under the name Pan troglodytes (chimpanzee). Its description in RNAcentral is "retained intron". The record is from RNAcentral. Lineage: Eukaryota; Metazoa; Chordata; Mammalia; Primates; Hominidae.
GAAAAGUGGUGGCGGCUGCAGGUACCGGAGGAGUGGGGCGGCCGGGAGGGGCUAGGUCUACCGGGGCUGCCCGCCACGCAGAUCCGAGCCCAGGGAACGCCCUCGCUCCCACUCCCAUACCCCACAGACGCAUCCAAAAUGCUUCCCUCCCCACCAAACCGUUCCCGAUAGGAUUAGCCCUCUCUCCUCUCUAGCCUUAAUUUAAACUCUGCUUUUGAGGGUGUGAACUCGCUAAUUUUAAGCCCCAAAUACCAUCUCAUCCCUGAGUAGUCUUCUCCAACCCUGGUCACCCACUUUCAAGUCCAGCCCCCAUUUUCCUCCCUAAACUCCCAUCCUCAGCCCUGAAAAAUCCUCUUCUCCGCUCCUAGCAUAUCCACGGAUCCAACCCUAAGUGACUCUCAAACCUACCCUCUCCCUCAAUUUGUGACCCAGCCCCAAACUCCAUCAUUGCUUUCCUGUCCCUCACCAUAUAUCCCUUCUUUUGCUCAGUCUGGGCCGGGGCCCUGUGCCGCUGAAGACAUGGAGUUUGUGUCUGGAUACCGGGAUGAGUUCCUUGAUUUCACUGCCCUUCUCUUCGGCUGGUUCCGAAAGUUUGUGGCAGAGCGUGGAGCUGUAGGGACUAGCCUUGAGGGCCGCUGCCGGCAGCUGGAGGCCCAGAUCAGAAGGCUACCCCAGGACCCUGCCCUUUGGGUGCUCCAUAUCCUGCCCAACCAUAGUGUGGGCAUCAGCCUGGGGCAAGGGGCAGAACCAGGUCCUGGACCAGGCCUGGGGACUGCCUGGCUCCUGGGAGACAACCCUCCACUCCACCUGCGAGACCUGAGCCCCUACAUCAGCUUUGUCAGCCUAGAGGAUGGGGAGGAAGGGGAGGAGGAAGAGGAGGAAGAUGAAGAAGAAGAGAAGAGAGAGGACGGGGGUGCAGGCAGCACAGAGAAGGUGGAACCAGAGGAGGACCGGGAGCUAGCCCCUACCAGCAGGGAGUCCCCCCAGGAAACAAACCCUCCAGGAGAGUCAGAGGAGGCUGCCCGGGAGGCAGGAGGUGGCAAGGAUGGCUGCCGAGAGGACAGGGUGGAGAACGAAACAAGACCCCAGAAGAGGAAGGGACAGAGGAGUGAGGCUGCCCCCCUGCACGUUUCCUGUCUCUUACUUGUGACGGAUGAGCAUGGCACCAUCUUGGGCAUUGAUCUGCUAGUGGAUGGAGCCCAGGGAACCGCAAGCUGGGGCUCAGGGACCAAGGACCUGGCUCCUUGGGCCUAUGCUCUCCUCUGUCACAGCAUGGCCUGUCCCAUGGGCUCUGGGGAUCCCCGAAAGCCCCGACAGCUUACUGUGGGAGAUGCCCGGCUGCAUCGAGAGCUGGAGAGCUUGGUCCCAAGGCUAGGUGUGAAGUUAGCCAAAACCCCAAUGCGGACAUGGGGUCCCCGGCCAGGCUUCACCUUUGCUUCCCUUCGUGCUCGAACCUGCCAUGUGUGUCACAGGCACAGCUUUGAAGCGAAGCUGACACCUUGCCCCCAGUGUAGUGCUGUCUUGUAUUGUGGAGAGGCUUGUCUCCGGGCUGACUGGCAGCGGUGCCCAGAUGAUGUGAGCCACCGAUUUUGGUGCCCAAGGCUUGCAGCCUUCAUGGAGCGGGCAGGAGAACUGGCAACCCUGCCUUUUACCUACACCGCAGAGGUGACCAGUGAAACCUUCAACAAAGAGGCCUUCCUGGCCUCUCGGGGCCUCACGCGUGGCUACUGGACGCAGCUCAGCAUGCUGAUUCCAGGCCCGGGCUUCUCCAGACACCCCCGAGGCAACACGCCGUCCCUCAGCCUUCCUCGCGGUGGAGACCCCUACCAGCUUCUCCAGGGAGACGGGACUGCCCUGAUGCCUCCUGUGCCCCCACAUCCACCCCAGGGUGUUUUUGGUGAGCUGGAGGGGCCCUGUGGAAGCUAGGGGUAGGGCCAGGGACUGGAGAACCAGAGCCCGGGUGGCUGUGAAGAAGAGGUUUGUUAGACUAGAGGGGGUGGGGGCCCAGGGCCAGGUCCUCUAGCAACCCUCUCCUGCCAGGCUCAUGGCACGAUUACUACACAUGGCGGGGCCUCAGCUUGGACUCCCCCACAGCCGUGCUUCUCACCUACCCGCUGACCGUGUACUACGUCAUCACCCACCUGGUGCCCCAGUCCUUCCCUGAGCUCAACAUCCAAAACAAACAAUCACUGAAGAUCCACGUGGUGGAGGCCGGGAAGGAGUUUGACCUUGUCAUGGUGUUUUGGGAGCUUUUGGUCCUGCUCCCCCACGUGGCCCUGGAGCUGCAGUUUGUAGGUGAUGGGCUGCCCCCCGAAAGCGACGAGCAGCAUUUUACCCUGCA